UGGCUCUGGCAUCGAUGAAGAACGCAGCGAAAUGCGAUAAGUAGUGUGAAUUGCAGGCUUUAGUGAAUCAUCGAAUCUUUGAACGCACAUUGCGCCCCUUGGUAUUCCAUCGGGCAUGCCUGUUCGAGCGUCAUGUAACACCGUCAAGCAUCGCUUGGUGUUGGGCGUCUGUCUGCCCCUGCAGACUCGCCUUGAAUCAAUCGGCAGCAGUUUGCUAGCUUCCUGCGCGCAGCACCUUGCGCUCCAAGGGAGGCUCCAGCGAGUCUGCAUCCCCAAAGACUUCUCAGUUUGACCUCGAAUCAGGUAGGGAUACCCGCUGA
RNAcentral lists this unclassified non-coding RNA (320 nucleotides) under uncultured fungus. Its description in RNAcentral is "partial contains 5.8S ribosomal RNA and internal transcribed spacer 2". The stretch from base 1 to 133 matches the Rfam family "5.8S ribosomal RNA", at positions 22 to 154 of the family's 154-position model. Lineage: Eukaryota; Fungi. The record is from RNAcentral.